CAUCAAGAAGCUAAAUUCGGGUAACAGCAUUGGCCUUUUAAGCCAAAGAUUGGUGCCUCCCAACCACCCCUGAUGA
This 76-nucleotide transfer RNA is filed under the name Koreocobitis rotundicaudata (white nose loach). RNAcentral describes it as "tRNA-Lys". It matches the Rfam family "tRNA". Rfam says of the family: Transfer RNA (tRNA) molecules are approximately 80 nucleotides in length. Their secondary structure includes four short double-helical elements and three loops (D, anti-codon, and T loops). Further hydrogen bonds mediate the characteristic L-shaped molecular structure. tRNAs have two regions of fundamental functional importance: the anti-codon, which is responsible for specific mRNA codon recognition, and the 3' end, to which the tRNAs corresponding amino acid is attached (by aminoacyl-tRNA synthetases). tRNAs cope with the degeneracy of the genetic code in two manners: having more than one tRNA (with a specific anti-codon) for a particular amino acid; and 'wobble' base-pairing, i.e. permitting non-standard base-pairing at the 3rd anti-codon position. The record is from RNAcentral. RNAcentral also lists the same sequence under 1 other name. Lineage: Eukaryota; Metazoa; Chordata; Actinopteri; Cypriniformes; Cobitidae.